This 406-nucleotide ribosomal RNA is filed under the name uncultured bacterium. RNAcentral describes it as "partial 16S ribosomal RNA". It matches the Rfam family "Bacterial small subunit ribosomal RNA", at positions 29 to 526 of the family's 1533-position model. The record is from RNAcentral.
AUUGAACGCUGGCGGCAGGCUUAACACAUGCAAGUCGAGCGAGCGGCGGACGGGUGAGUAAUGUCUGGGAAACUGCCUGAUGGAGGGGGAUAACUACUGGAAACGGUAGCUAAUACCGCAUACCAUCAGAUGUGCCCAGAUGGGAUGAGCUAGUAGGUGGGGUAAUGGCCCACCUAGGCGACGAUCCCUAGCUGGUCUGAGAGGAUGACCGGCGCCACGGGAGCGGGGACGCGGUCCAGACUCCUACGUGAGGCAGCAGUGGGGAAUAUUGCACAAUGGGCGCUAGCCUGAUGCAGCCAGGCCGCGUGGGUGAAGAAGGCCUUCGGGUUGUAAAGCACUUUCAGCGAGGAGGCGUUACUCGCAGAAGAAGCACCGGCUAACUCCGUGCCAGCAGCCGCGGUAAUAC